GGGUCAGUAGGUUGGUCGUGCCACCGGUACGUACUGGUCUCACUGAUUCCUCCUUCCUGAAGAACCGUAACGCCAUUAAUUUGGUGUUGCGGGGAAGCAGGACUGUUACUUUGAAAAAAUUAGAGUGUUUAAAGCAGGCUAACGCUUGAAUACAUUAGCAUGGAAUAAUGAAAUAGGACGAUCGAUCCUAUUUUGUUGGUUUCUAGGAUUGACGUA
This 216-nucleotide ribosomal RNA is filed under the name Glomeromycotina sp. RNAcentral describes it as "partial small subunit ribosomal RNA". The stretch from base 75 to 216 matches the Rfam family "Eukaryotic small subunit ribosomal RNA", at positions 721 to 864 of the family's 1831-position model. The record is from RNAcentral. Lineage: Eukaryota; Fungi; Glomeromycota.